UCCCCAGUGGCUCAGACGGUAAAGCGUCUGCCUAAGGUGCGGGAGACCCGGGUUCAAUCCCUGGGUCGGGAA
This 72-nucleotide transfer RNA is filed under the name Bos taurus (domestic cattle). It matches the Rfam family "tRNA". From Rfam's summary of the family: Transfer RNA (tRNA) molecules are approximately 80 nucleotides in length. RNAcentral also lists the same sequence under 4 other names. Lineage: Eukaryota; Metazoa; Chordata; Mammalia; Artiodactyla; Bovidae. The record is from Rfam by way of RNAcentral.